AAUCAUCAUCUUCCUUGUGAUUUGUUUCUCGAGGAGGUGGACUUGGACCGUGCCGUCGUUGGCUCGUCCUGAAAUGCAUUAGCCUGGUCUAAAGCUGGCCCUUGGGUGUGAUAAAUAUCUACGCCGCUGGUGCCGCGAUUGCUCCUGGCUUCUAAACCCGCCUCCAAUUCAUUUUGGAUGGCUUAAUUUUAAUG
Molecule: unclassified non-coding RNA, 194 nt
Filed under: uncultured Agaricomycetes
Lineage: Eukaryota; Fungi; Basidiomycota; Agaricomycetes
Description: sequence contains ITS2
Source: RNAcentral